RNAcentral lists this long non-coding RNA (430 nucleotides) under Homo sapiens (human). Its description in RNAcentral is "non-protein coding lnc-MSMB-6:5". The record is from RNAcentral. Lineage: Eukaryota; Metazoa; Chordata; Mammalia; Primates; Hominidae.
AAGCCCUGCCUCAGCUUCUCUCCCAACACUCAGCUUUUCUCCCAAUACAGGAACUUUUGGAGGUCACUUCUGGGGCCUUUGCUGAGCAGGCCACUCCUUGCUUCUCCUGCAGAUGACAAGGUUUCCAGCAUGAUUAUUGCUAUGACUGAUGGAACAAUGAUGAAACAUCCAUCUUUGGACACUCUCAAAGAAAAUCCUACCAUGUGGUUAUUCAUGGAAAUGGCUUUCAGAAUCUAAAGAAACGGGAUGAAGUUAUUUGCAGAUUUAUCUUCAGUGAAAGCACUAUCAUUGGGAGUACUUCAUUGAAGUCAGCUUGAACAACGGCAAAACAUUCAAGAGCAAUGUCAGCAUCACCAGCACCACAUGUGGCAAUCUGGAUAUCUUCCGUGACCUCUCUCACCCAAGCUGCUGCCAGGUGCCAUGGAUGUGG